This 76-nucleotide transfer RNA is filed under the name Cerasibacillus quisquiliarum. RNAcentral's name for it is "tRNA-His". It matches the Rfam family "tRNA". From Rfam's summary of the family: Transfer RNA (tRNA) molecules are approximately 80 nucleotides in length. Their secondary structure includes four short double-helical elements and three loops (D, anti-codon, and T loops). Further hydrogen bonds mediate the characteristic L-shaped molecular structure. tRNAs have two regions of fundamental functional importance: the anti-codon, which is responsible for specific mRNA codon recognition, and the 3' end, to which the tRNAs corresponding amino acid is attached (by aminoacyl-tRNA synthetases). tRNAs cope with the degeneracy of the genetic code in two manners: having more than one tRNA (with a specific anti-codon) for a particular amino acid; and 'wobble' base-pairing, i.e. permitting non-standard base-pairing at the 3rd anti-codon position. Lineage: Bacteria; Bacillati; Bacillota; Bacilli; Caryophanales; Bacillaceae. RNAcentral also lists the same sequence under 1 other name. The record is from RNAcentral.
GCGGUCGUGGCGAAGUGGUUAACGCACCGGAUUGUGGCUCCGGCAGGCGUGGGUUCAAAUCCCACCGGUCGCCCCA